GCCUUACGGGAUAGGCGAGUAUUGUCCGAUUGAUUGCUGUUCCGAGAAUUAGUGCCUGGGUCAUCCUUCUGAAUCUGGUGCUCCUUACUGGCAACAAUAUCUGGCUUGGGUCGGCGACCUAAACAAGGCAAAACUCUACGUAUGGCACACAUGCUGAAAACGAGUUCAAGAAGUUUGAGAAGCAAUGCCAUAAGCAGAACAUGGGCAGUUAAUGUGAUACCUGCAGGCACCAGUUUGCCAUUGGACACUUCACUUGUGGCCCACCAAGGCUUGGAAAAACACAGUAGGACCACAAGCAAAGGUGGAACCAAGACAGAGCAAGGAUCAGAUAACAACAAGGCAUGGCAAGACCAGAGGCAAAGAGCAUUAGGUAUAAGCAGGUGACGACGCUGCAAGACUGGAGGUAGAAACCCAAUGAACAACACUAAUCAGCUACUGCAGAGUCAAGUUGCUAUGGCAAAGAUGGGCAGAACCAAUAAGCCUUUUACAGAGUUCCCACUCUCAACUUGUCUGCUUGCUUACACAGCUCCUAAUUCUGCAAGCAUCUACAGAUCUAAUGCCAAUCCUGUGGGUACUUACAAGACAGAGCAUGCUGCCUCCUCUAUCAAGCCACUGGGGAAGAUGCACAGCUCUACAGAUCCUGACACAAUGGCACCCCAGGGUUUCAGGCUGGAGUCUUCUCCACUCCUGCUUGAUAAUGCCAGGGAUCGAAGCUAAGGGGUUGUGUGUGUGUUCAUAUAUAUGGAGGGAAGCAACCAGAUGUGCCCUUUUCUUGCAUACAUGAAAUGGAAAUAUGUGAUUUUAUUGAGGCAAUAUUUAUUAAUGUAAAUAAUAAAAAAUCACAAUCACUAUAAAUCAUCAUGGUAUGGAUGAAAAUAUAUUAUGUAAUAAAUAAAACCAUUACAUACUUCUCCACAUAGACAUACAGACAAUAUGGACACUAAAUGAAUUGACUUUUCCUUCCACACAGGGUGAAUCUGCAUAUUAUGCUGCCUAUGAAAUUUGAAUCUUCUGUGUUCGAAUUCAAGCCAGCUUGGGGAACAAAAUUCUUUCCCAAUCUAAAAUAAGGCUUCAAAAAGAAACAGUCAACCUGGUUUCUCAGGAGUUCUUCCAUUCAAUUAUCAAAGUUUUCUAGGUCCAUUUCAAAAUUCCUUGAGUGAGUCCUGAGGCUACACAGUAAAUAACUGUCAAAUGUUCAGUUGUAAUUGUAGUCUAAAAUGCAUAUACAUUUGCUGAACUUCACCAGCCUCAUUUCGUUUCUGAAUGCUAGCAAAUUAACAAUAUCUUCAUCUAUGCACAUAUCUACUUCUGAAUAUGAAUACUGCACAUGGUUCAUUGGUUUUUCUAGUUCUCACACAACAAAUAUUGAAUUAUUUAACCCAUAAUUUCUGGGGCUUCAUGACAGAUGUGACCACUUCUGUUUUUUGUAAACAAUCUCCAAUUAGUGCAAUUAGAGGCUAUGAGUGUGAUGUGCAAAUUUGGACUGCUGGGCCCUUUAGGAGGAAGACAAUGCAGCAGUUAAAACAUGAUUUGUUGUUGGGCUGCUUGGCACCUAAACAACCAAGAGGUUGAGGCUUGCAUACUACACAAACAGUUGCUGAUUGUGCAAACUGGAGUUUACAGAAAGCAGAGGAGCCUUGUACAUGGCACAUGCCACUAUUAUAUGUGAACUGACUGUUGUUUUUUUAUUUUGAUUAAAAUACUGACCAUAGCUUCAACAGCAAUAAAACCAGCCUGGAUCUAAGCACCAGAUGUUAUGGGCAUUCAUGAGAUUUACUAGAAGCUCAGUAGUGAAAGUUUGUUCCCUCUUCGUCACUGGGCUGGAGAGGAAAGUCACCAGCCAGCCGCUUGGCAAUCUGAGUUGUACAGAAUUUGGUGGAUUUACCAUUUGGCUGCUCACACAAGGACAGUUCCUGCUCCUUUCCAGAAAGUAGCAAAUUCCAUGAUUCAGACAAUGAUUCCAAAAUGUUGGCAUGGGUUUCACAAGUUGUUGAAAAGCCAUCUAGGAAAGCCGUAUGCGGCAAGACUGAGGGAGCUGGGUCUUUUCAGCCUGGAGAAGAGGAGAGACAGAGGAGAUCUGUUGGCAACAUACAGUGUGAAGUAACAAGAAUAUGUGGAGCUCAGGUGGAUUUAUUAGAUCAAGACUCCAGAUGACCACAAGACAAGCAGCUGCACCAGAAGAAGCAGACAACAAGCUUGUUUACUCUGAGCAAACCCAUCCAUGCGUCCUCUGGCAGCAGCGUCCUUGUGCACUGAGCAAGAGAUGCUGCUGAGUUUAGAUGCUUCACUCCCCCCACCCCCGGCUUCUUUGCACAUUCCUAAAAACAUUUCAGGAUGCAAGGCAAUUCUAACUACACGAGCUUGCUAUGAAGCAUUCCCUAGCUUGCUUUCCCCACACCCGUAGUCUUAGUCAGCUCGAAAGGAGAAGCAUUUAUUUUUAAUUUUGCAACUUUGAGUUAAGUUUUGAAAAGAGCUCGAUAGAAGGGCAAAUGCAAGGCCUUCCAUCACAUUUACCACCGAGGAAAAAAAACCCACCCAGGUUACAAAUCCCACCUCUCCGGUGGAAAACAAGACUCCCCACCCGCGCGCAUAAAUCAAGAAAGUUGAGAGAAUCGUUGGGAAAGUGUACUGACUCCUUAUGCUAUCACACUCUUCUUAAAUGCAUCCGGUCAAACAUCCCUGUUUCGUCCUCCCAAAUUUCCAACACAAGAAACUAACCAUACAGUUCAUACUACGGAAUGGAAAGGAUGUGGCUCCUCGUGGUUUUUUUUUUUUUUUCUUCCUUUCUUUUUUAAAUCAAACUUUGGGACUGUUCUCUUGUUGUUACUCCUGUUGCUACGCAUGUUUCACUCACCCAAGAUCUCUGAUGAUGCUGGAGACGCUUAAUUCAGAAAAAAGAAAGAAGACAAGGGGAGAAAAGAUAAAGAAAACCACCAACAAAGAGCCUAAAAUCUCCAGGCUGGAAAGAUUCCAGGCCGGACAGAUCUGCGAGGCACUCACCAAAGUAAGGCUGGAGUUGAGGAUCUGUUUUGGAGAAGGUUUAGUGGGGAAAGGGAAGCAGUUGUACUUGGGAGCUGGUUGCUUUAAGGACGGGCUUGCAGAUUUCCUACAAAGCUCAGCGGAAGAGGAAGAAAUAACUGGUGCAGGGAGAGGAGAAAGGCACUGGAAUCGAGGCACCCAGACCCUCCAUAUGGAAGCAGGCUUUUUGGAUGACUGAACUCUCAAACAAUUCCCUUCUUUUUGCUAGCCCGGCUCUGGAGCCUCCCCUUUAGGAGGAGGAGGGGGAGGAGGAGGAGCCGAAGAAGUGGAAAGCGGGGCGGUGGGGGGAGAGAUGGGACUCUCCGAAAGGAGGUCACACGAUCAGUAACCUUCUUCCGUGAAACGAGACAGCAGCACGAGAAGCGAUCACUUCGUUGCACCUGAUUUUUCGAAAAAGACGAGGGUUCUGAAAGGAUCGCAUAUAAAACCUAGCUGCCCUCCCUUCCCUCUCCCCCCCCCCCCCCGAUCCUGCCAAAAAAGACAGAGAGAGAGAAAGAGAGAAGCGGAAGCUGGAAAAGUUGGAUUACAAAGUUUGGCGAGGAAGGAAGGAGGGUCUCUCUCCUCCGCUACAUCCCCCCUCCCCGGUCUUUGCCUUGUAUUUGGUAUGUGGCGGUCCUCAGUCAAAGCUCCGGACCCUAUUCAUCGGCAAUGAGGCGGGGGCAUGCCGGGGAGGGAGGAGGGUUACGAGGGGGGAAUUAGGAGCAGGUUUUUAACUACAGUGCGACCUCAUUUUAAAAAAAGAACAAUACAGCACACUGGUCACAGCAGGAUGUUUCGCCCGGAAAGUGGAGAGGCAGGUCUAUUGGAACCCUCUUCCUUGCUGAUGAGGAAAGAAGUGGUCGUCUGGAUGUGUCUCUCCUUUCGCCUCCUUUUCUGUCAUAAGAAGGAAUCACUGAAUAUGCUGCAAAGCAAGUGCCACUGACUUAAGUUCUGUAGGACGUAACUCCUGCGUAUUCACUUGUUCCUACAGACCUUCCAAGGUUCCUGCUUUGGAUUGUUUGAGGAAGUACACUGAGAAUAAUGAAAGAGAUCCUAGAAUUAAAUUGACCCAUCACUUUUUAAGGAAUUUUAGGACUCGAGGGCAUGCUGGUUUUCCUCAGUUUCCCAGUUACUUGCUCAUAUACAUGCCUGUAGCACAGAACAAGUAACAAACAGGCGGAGGCAAGGUGCAACAUGUAAACAAGAGGGACUGGUUGCCCAAGUAAGUAAUUUAGCAGAAUGCAGCUGCACACCUCAAAAGAUUUUUGCUGUGUAAUAAAUAUGCUGAAAAAUAAAAUUGCUGGAAUAGAAAACAACAAAUUAAUCCAAAGGCUGGAGUAUCUUCCUUAGAUGAAAAGGCUGUUAUUUUUAAUUUGGGGUUUUUAAUUUCUCUGUGUCAUGGGAGGGGGACACUAAAGAAAAAACACAGAGCAGGCUUACCCAAUCUGUCCCCUUCCAGAUUCCAAUCUGUCCCCUUCCAAUCUGUUCAGUGACAGCUCCUGACAUUCUAACCAGUAUGGUCAUGAAACAAUUGAAUUUCACCACAGCAACCAACAAAGUAAAUGUAUACAUAGCAGACAUAUCGGACUGCCAAUUGCCUGCUCAGCCUUUUUUUUUCCCAGUUAGGAUGAGUAAAGAGAAGUGACAAGUGGAAAAAGCAAGGUGUGAACUCAUAGAUGCUCAGCACUGACCCAGAAUGGAAAUAGGUAAUGAUACCAGAUGCAUGGCAGGAAGAGGUUUCAUCCAUUGUAAUACUGAAAUGAAGAAAGACACAUGGCAAGCCUCUAUGUUCCAUGCAGCUAACAAAGGAAAUGGAUGUUUACUGGUAUGAUAAUGGAAUCUGCUCCUGAUCUUCUCUGCUUCAAGGAACUUCUCUAGAGGACUAGAUUGACCCCAACAGGCAUGGGGUUGGAAACAAAGAGGACCAUAAGGAAGGUGCCUGGCUUUGAUCUUUCCUGCUGGUUAAUUGGAGUGAGGCUGCACUAAAGUGGCCAUCCAAACUCAGUGGAAACAGGGAAAGUGGGUUGGAGGCUACAGUAUGCAGGGAAAGGAUCUCCAGAAGAUAGGAGCACUGAAAGAUCCUGUUGAAUCAUUACUGAGGAUGGGGCUGGGGAGCAGAGAAACUCUUGCAACUACCAAGAAAGCAGAGCCUUGGUAAAAGUCAACACAUUGCUGCUUCAGCAAAAGUAAGACUAGGGCAGCCAGAACCAGAUGUUCUGUGGAGAAGGACUUACAAAGCUCAUGGCAGAACCAUGGAUUUUGGUUAGAUGAGAUUUCAGCAAGGAAUGAGAGUCAGCAGGUACAGCAACACACUGGGCUUGCAAUGCACAAAGGGGAGUUCUAAAGCUUUGGAAGGCUGGGAACCGAUGGAAUUUGCCACACAGAAGCAGCUUGUGGUACCAGGAUCUUAGGAUGACCAGGAGUGAUGGACAUUAAAAUUCUAGGUUUUUAUACCACUUGAACAAAUAAACAAUCAAACAAACAAAUCCCCCCCCAUCUAACAUGUUUCUUUUACUCAUUUUAUAGAUUAUUUUGUAAUUUAUAUUUUAGUUGUUAUACCAAAAGAUUUUGUUUUUGUUUCAAGAUAUGUGGCUUUUAAAAUCUUUCCUGCCAUUUCCCCCUCCUCACCCCUUUUGCUCACAUCCUGAGAGUGAAUCACAGCUGGAUUAAUUCAGCAUGAAGCAUUUUGUAUGUGAGUGAGAACAGACUUAUUAAAGUGCACCGCUUUGAUAAAAGGCAGCCUUGAUGUUUUCUGUCAGGGAUCCCACAGAAAUCAUAUGGGGAAAAAAACCCUCUCAGUACUCCAUGUAUAACACUUACAGCUGUAGCAGUUACCUCAAACAGUAUAUAUUUUCAAAAUAACAAAACUCUCCGUGGAAUUUUUAAGUCAUCUCGGCCAACCUCAAAGAAGGAGAGAAUCUUAUUUGCAAAAACAUCUGCCUUUUUCUUUCCCUCUAUCCAAAAACAUUCCAGAGACUGCAUGGUGACUUGCAGAAUCAGUAGGUCAAUCCAUAUUACAUCACUUCUGGCCUGGCCACAUUACCACAGCAGAACUACACCAAAUAGUCUUUUCAGUAUCUGGUGGCUAGGAAAGCAUUUGUACAAGUGUGUUAAUAGGUUUACUAAACCCUUGGAAUAUGAGAUGAACAGGAGUUGUUAGCUUCCUUAAUUUGUCUUCAAGUUUUGCAACUGCUGUAGAUAUCAGAAACCUCUUUUGUUUUUUCUGAUCUUUUUCUUAUUCAUUAUAUCAAAUACACCACAUUAUAAUAUCAUAGAAGGCUAAUUCAACAACUCCACUGAUGGGAGAUGUUGCCACAGUUCACAAUGCAUGCCAAGUAUGUGUACCUGCCAUUUUUAAUAUUGAACAAACCAUUGUUUGACCUCAAAUAAUCCAUGGUGCCUGGGUUCCCAUACUGCAGCACUUGAUUACUCCAAUUAGGGGCUGCAUUUUCAAAAUGGCAGCUACAUAGCCCACGAUGGCCCAGUGUAUUAUUUAUUUAUUAUUUGUCUAUUACAUUUUUAUACUGCCUCAUAGUUCAGGCUCUCUGGGUGGUGUACAAUUAAAAUUAAUUCAUACAAUAAACAUUAUACUAAAGGAGAAUAAAACUAUAAACAACAACAACAAGACAACAACAUUGCAGCUAUAAUAACUUAAUUUCUUAGAUUAGGUCAAGCUUGACACAAAAGCAUUGCAACAAAAGCCACAGGGUUGAAGAAUCAUAAUCAGAGUAUAUUCUUUCACUUACCACAAUAGCUUAAUUUAAUAUAAGGCUGAAAACCUAUACAAACUUGUCCAUCGGUUGUUUAUUUAAAUGUUCUGUUUUCAGUCACUUUAUCUCAAAUUGACUCCUGUACUCUACAAUAUUUAAAAUGGCUACUCAAAGUAAGCCCACUGAAUGGGCUUGCUCCCACAUAAGAGGAAUAAGAUCUUUUUGCCUGCUCUGGCUUGCAAUUGGUCCCCUGGACCUUUCCCAUCACCUUCCACCUGGUCUUUUUCACUGGAAUGGACUGGCAUUGACUCUGUGGCCUUGUGCAUGGCCAGUACAGAUGUUUCCUUUGAACCAAGGGCCCUUGUUCCUUAAAGCUGGAAUUUAUUCACCUCUCAUGUUUUUAUUUUAGCUUUUAACUGUUUUAUAUCAUGCAUAGGUAUGGGAGAAGCAGAGAAGUUCAAACUUGUAAAGAUUCUCCAUACUCCACUUCAAAGCUCACUUGGCCUUGCUUUCAUUUUUAUUUGUGAACUGUAUUUAAACGUUUCAAAAAAAUUGAAAGCUCAAAAGUUGUACACUUCCCUACUAUUGAAUAAAGGAUGAAAAUACUGUG
RNA transcript from Varanus komodoensis (Komodo dragon), 7338 nucleotides. RefSeq lists it as uncharacterized. Lineage: Eukaryota; Metazoa; Chordata; Lepidosauria; Squamata; Varanidae. The record is from RefSeq and is a predicted model, not a curated record. The transcript is spliced from 9 exons.